AAGCUAGUAAGGUUCAUGAAGAAAUAAUGAAGACUUUUUCCAGGUACCAUGUGACUUUGUCCACUUAUGCUCACACCCAAUAACAAAGAAGAAAAAAAGGAGAAAAGGAUCAGAAAGAAGAAGAUGAGGCAGUGGCAGCAGAAGAAGAGAUAGCUGGAAAAGCUUCCGUCUUUUGUUGCCUUAUAUACACCAAUCCGACCUUGCUCAACUCUGCCUGAGCUGCAUAGUCACCUCUAAGCUUUCCCAAACCACAGAUGAUUGGAGGCCACCCCAGAAUUACUGAGUCUGAAUCUGCUGCAGUUGUGCCCAGGUGUGUGUGCAGUGUUUAAGUUCCCCAUGGACCAUUCUAAUGCACAACCAGAUUUGAGCAAUACUGGAUGGGGCAGUUUACCUGAGAAAAGAUCUUAUUUCAUUGUCAUGACAACCACAGAAAGUACAUACUUUGAUCUUCAUCUUAUAAACAAUGAAUCCAAGUCGCUGAGAAGUUAAAAACUUGCUCAGGGUAACACGAGACAGAAUCUGACUCUGUCGCCCAGGCUGGAGUGCAACGGCGCGAUAUCGACUCUGCAACCUCUGCCUCCCGGGUUCAAGCGGUCCUUGUGCCUCACCCCCCUGAGUAGCUGGGACUACAGGCAUCCGCCACCUCGCCAGGAAGAUGACCAUCUUUUACUGCCCAACGACAUCUUUCUACCAAUGUGAACAGAGACUAGCAGCACAGUGAUCACCUGCAGAUAGACCUGGCUUUAUCUGUACAUAACACCAAAAGAAAAAACCUGGAUUCCAGAAGGAAAUAAAGAUUUUCAGUCCCUGCAA
Molecule: long non-coding RNA, 813 nt
Organism: Homo sapiens (human)
Lineage: Eukaryota; Metazoa; Chordata; Mammalia; Primates; Hominidae
Source: Ensembl